AUUGAACGCUGGCGGCAGGCCUAACACAUGCAAGUCGAGCGGAUGAAGGGAGCUUGCUCCUGGAUUCAGCGGCGGACGGGUGAGUAAUGCCUAGGAAUCUGCCUGGUAGUGGGGGAUAACGUCCGGAAACGGGCGCUAAUACCGCAUACGUCCUGAGGGAGAAAGUGGGGGAUCUUCGGACCUCACGCUAUCAGAUGAGCCUAGGUCGGAUUAGCUAGUUGGUGGGGUAAAGGCCUACCAAGGCGACGAUCCGUAACUGGUCUGAGAGGAUGAUCAGUCACACUGGAACUGAGACACGGUCCAGACUCCUACGGGAGGCAGCAGUAGGGAAUAUUGGACAAUGGGCGAAAGCCUGAUCCAGCCAUGCCGCGUGUGUGAAGAAGGUCUUCGGAUUGUAAAGCACUUUAAGUUGGGAGGAAGGGCAGUAAGUUAAUACCUUGCUGUUUUGACGUUACCAUCAGAAUAAGCACCGGCUAACUUCGUG
Molecule: ribosomal RNA, 484 nt
Filed under: uncultured bacterium
Lineage: Bacteria
Description: partial 16S ribosomal RNA
Rfam family: Bacterial small subunit ribosomal RNA
Source: RNAcentral